This 300-nucleotide ribosomal RNA is filed under the name Triticum aestivum (bread wheat). RNAcentral describes it as "partial small subunit ribosomal RNA". The record is from RNAcentral. Lineage: Eukaryota; Viridiplantae; Streptophyta; Magnoliopsida; Poales; Poaceae.
AUGGUGGUCAUUUUGUUAGCCACAUUUUUUGUAGCAGCCACUCUUUGCCUGAGCUUAAUUGUGACAAAGUUAGUCAUAAACCAAACAGACGCUAUAUGUGUACUGAUCGCAGCAGGGGCGAUAGUACAGAAGAAGCCGCGAGAGAUAUGCUUUUUUUUAAUUUCUUUUUUGGAUUAUACGAGAGAUAUGGUGCUAGGGAGUAUUUCAGUGCGGUGUGGCCAGGGAAGGAAGGAAGGAAGGAAAAGUAGACGGUCCAUCCGAAACCGUCACCCUUCCGCUAUAACGAGAAAUCAGCUUUAA